AAUGAAGAAAAUAUAGAUAGAAAGAUAGGAAGAAAGAAUGGAGAGAUAGAUCAAGCCAAGAGAUCAAGAUCUGAAUAAAAAGAUCGUUUAAUAUGAAAGCAGAGUGAGCGAGAAUAAUACUGAGCUGCUGAUACAAAGGCAUUUAAUUUUGGCAUCGCAAAAUAACAAAAACAACAAUAUGUCACUAAGUAAUUUAACUGAUAAUCGAUCUAAAUAACUUUUGUACGAUCGAUCGUAUGAUUGCAGGUAACAAAGAACUGCGAAGAGAUGUUAGAAAAUAAAUACUAGAUAUGUAGCAACAUGAUUGCUCAUCGUCUAAACAAUUUGUAUAAAAUACUUCUCUCCUUGUGACUCUGCAUUAUCACGUUGAAAACAUCCAACCAACAAUAUAAACUGUAUAAGAAUCUUUCAAAUACGAAGCGUCAUCAUAGGAAAACAUUAAAGUAUUACCGAGUCAACAAAAUCGGUUAGAAGUUAUUGGCUUAGAAAGCAAAGAAGCGUGAUCUCCAAGUGCGCCAGCAAAAGAGCUUUUUUUAGCCUGAAUUUGGCUCGGUUCUUAGACACAGACAGAGCGAGUGCGAGAGCGAGAGCGAGAAAGAAAGAAAAAGAAAGAGAAAGAAAAAAGCUUCAGAACUACUAUAAAACACGAUUGUCCUACCUGAGAACAAUGAGAGCAGCUUUAGAAGAAAAAACAAUAUCAACACAACAGGUAUCUGAUUGAAAAAUUGUAUGUACAAAAAUACUUUUGUCAAGAAGGACGGUCAGUGAACGUGAGUACAAAGAAGGAUUAAAGAAAGACACAGAUUUAGUCAGAGGAACCUUGAGUUAGAAAGUUAACGUAUAGAUAGAAAAUUUAAGAACAAACGAAUGUGUAAAUUUGUCGUGUUUAUAAUAUAUUGUUAUAUUUUAAAUAAAUGAAAUCAUCGAUGUAUUUAGAAUGUUAAAAAUUUGUUUGAAGAUAAUCUUGGUACUUCAUACAAAAAUAUCAUUUUAUUUUGUGUGUGUGUUUUUUUUCAGGUAAGGUAGAUGAUAAAAGCAAUCUGGGAAACAAAGGAUUGUAGAUAGAUAAUAAAAAAAAAAAGAAGAAAGGAUAUAAGAAAAUAAGUUCUAGUGAUAGAUUAAGCUUUCACAGACUUGGAUUUUGUUAGGAUCUACUCACUACUGGUCACCCGAUUAGUUAGCUACGUGUAUUCGGCUUGUUUGAGAUCAAGAGCAAUGACUACCGUUGUCGCUGGUAGCCAGCGACUUACUUCUCUAAAAAUACCAUUUCGAAAGACCGCGUGCGCUUUACAUGUCGACAAACGCGCAGGAAAUAUCAUUGCGCAGUCGCGAUUGAAAAUUCCAUAUGUAAACGUUUUAACAAAAAUAAGAAGAAAAUGUAUAUAGUUAUGUCUUUAUUUAUGGAUACUGUUUUCCUCUCAUGACAAAGAAUUCAGUGAUUACAAUAUGAUAUUACAACAUGAUUAUUAGAUUUACAAAGAGAUACAUCAACUCGUUAUAUUCUUCCAAAUAAAAAUAAACAAUUGAAAUAAAUGUAUACAGAGGAGAGAUUAACAUUAAGAAUUUUUGUUCGGAUAAAAGGUAAAGAAACAAUUCACAAGAUUUAUAUAAAAUAAUCAAUAAAAAAGCAAAAGAAAUUAA
Long non-coding RNA from Polistes dominula (European paper wasp), 1641 nucleotides. RefSeq lists it as uncharacterized. The record is from RefSeq and is a predicted model, not a curated record. Lineage: Eukaryota; Metazoa; Arthropoda; Insecta; Hymenoptera; Vespidae.